Molecule: ribosomal RNA, 380 nt
Filed under: uncultured eukaryote
Lineage: Eukaryota
Description: partial 18S ribosomal RNA
Rfam family: Eukaryotic small subunit ribosomal RNA
Source: RNAcentral
CAAUAGCGUAUAUUAAAGUUGUUGCGGUUAAAAAGCUCGUAGUUGGAUUUCUGCUGAGGAUGACCGGUCCGCCCUCUGGGUGAGUAUCUGGCUCAGCCUUGGCAUCUUCCUGAAGAACGUAGCUGCACUUGACUGUGUGGUGCGGUAUUUAGGACAUUUACUUUGAGGAACUUAGAGUGUUUCAAGCAAGCAUGUGCUUUGAAUACAUUAGCAUGGAAUAAUGAUAUAGGAUUUCGGUUCUAUUUUGUUGGUUUUUAGAAUUGAAAUAAUGAUUGAUAGGGAUAGUCGGGGGCAUUCGUAUUUAACUGUCAGAGGUGAAAUUCUUGGAUUUGUUAAAGGCGGACUACUGCGAAAGCAUUUGCCAAGGAUGUUUUCAUUGA